Cavia porcellus (domestic guinea pig) is the source of this 507-nucleotide long non-coding RNA. RefSeq lists it as uncharacterized. The record is from RefSeq and is a predicted model, not a curated record. The transcript is spliced from 5 exons. Lineage: Eukaryota; Metazoa; Chordata; Mammalia; Rodentia; Caviidae.
GGGAGUUCUCCUGAGGUUGCUGUUUGAGCUGCUGGUUCUUCUGGAGGAGCUCGUCAUGACUAGUUUCCCCAGUUUGAGUCUGACCAUUGUCUUCAGAGGAGCUCGGGACCUUGUUGAUGCAGAGACUGCAGAGCGCUACUUGGGGCCAUGCUGAGUGUGUGUGCGGCAAGCAGCUGUGUGGGAAGGACACGCAUCAAAGAUGUGGACACUGACACCAGCAAGUAUAUCUAGUCUGUGAGAUGUGGAACCUGGACAGGAACUGGAUCAUGAGAGUAUUAACUUCACCAGUGGACUAACCCAUCGAUAAAGUUAUGGCUGAGUGGGAGUGGAAGACGUUAUUUCUCUCUUCCUGUUGUCCAGUCUGUGACUCAUUACAUCUUGAGAAAAACUACCAAGUUUCUAGAAGUUUCCCUCACUUCUUGGUUCAUGGCGCCUUCCACGGUCAUCAAUGUUAGCCUACCGAGUAGCCAGGCUUAUCGUCACGCACCUCCAUGCCCAGCUGAGAGG